This 440-nucleotide ribosomal RNA is filed under the name uncultured Oscillospiraceae bacterium. RNAcentral describes it as "bacterial SSU rRNA". It matches the Rfam family "Bacterial small subunit ribosomal RNA", at positions 338 to 795 of the family's 1533-position model. The record is from RNAcentral. Lineage: Bacteria; Bacillati; Bacillota; Clostridia; Eubacteriales; Oscillospiraceae.
CCUACGGGGGGCUGCAGUAGGGAAUAUUGGGCAAUGGGCGCAAGCCUGACCCAGCAACGCCGCGUGAAGGAAGAAGGCUUUCGGGUUGUAAACUUCUUUGAUCGGGGACGAAAGUGACGGUACCCGAGGAACAAGCCACGGCUAACUACGUGCCAGCAGCCGCGGUAAUACGUAGGUGGCGAGCGUUAUCCGGAUUUACUGGGUGUAAAGGGCGUGUAGGCGGGCGUAUAAGUCGGAUGUGAAAUCCCCGGGCUCAACCCGGGACGUGCAUCCGAAACUGUAUGUCUUGAGUGUCGGAGAGGAAAGCGGAAUUCCCAGUGUAGCGGUAAAAUGCGUAGAUAUUGGGAGGAACACCAGUGGCGAAGGCGGCUUUCUGGACGAUAACUGACGCUGAGGCGCGAAAGCGUGGGGAGCAAACAGGAUUAGAUACCCCUGUAGUC